UAUUAAAUAUCUUAAAAUUUAAAGAGUUGAAUUUUUAAUUCAAAUAUAAUAUUAUAUAUUUUUAAUGU
RNAcentral lists this transfer RNA (68 nucleotides) under Dinocampus coccinellae. RNAcentral describes it as "tRNA-Lys". The record is from RNAcentral. Lineage: Eukaryota; Metazoa; Arthropoda; Insecta; Hymenoptera; Braconidae.